RNAcentral lists this ribosomal RNA (253 nucleotides) under uncultured bacterium. RNAcentral's name for it is "partial 16S ribosomal RNA". It matches the Rfam family "Bacterial small subunit ribosomal RNA", at positions 524 to 776 of the family's 1533-position model. The record is from RNAcentral.
UACGUAGGUGGCGAGCGUUGUCCGGAUUUACUGGGCGUAAAGAGCGCGCAGGCGGCUGGGCAAGUCCGAUGUGAAAGCUUCCGGCUUAACUGGAAAAUUGCAUCGGAAACUGCUCGGCUUGAAGGUGGGAGAGGGUAGCGGAAUUCCCGGUGUAGUGGUGAAAUGCGUAGAUAUCGGGAGGAACAUCUGUGGCGAAGGCGACACCCUGGACCAGCACUGACACUGAGGCACGAAAGCGUGGGGAGCGAACAGG